CCGGGGGGGCCAGUGCCCCUGUAAAAUUGCUCCAGGCCCCUGUUGUGGCCCCUGUGCUGAACAGGUAACAAGAUUUAUUAAUUUUGACGUGCGCUGGCUCGAAGAUCGGAACUGACAUGACGGAGUGUUCUACACGGACUCCUUAAAGCGCUACACGCACACUGUUACCUGCAGCAGAAAGACCCGCAGAAGCGCGAAUUGUAAACUUCGGACGUGAGAGAUAACAGCUGCAGCCCUGCAAGGACUAGGCUACUGUAAAGAGGCGAAGACAGGGCGGACGAACCAGGGCAUUCGCCCGCCUGGCCGUGCCCGACGAGGAGCGCUCUCGGCCGGCUUGGGAGGCAGACGGCAGCCCCUCCUGGAAGUGUGGUUUUACCAUGGGCCUCAUGCGGAAAAAUGCCGAGGUGCAUUCGCUAAGCGACUGAAAGCCGAGACGAGUCACAGACAUGAUGAGUCUGUCACAGAGAGUCACAGGCAUGAUGGAGGAAGGGAACAGACAGAGACCUGCUCUGAAGAUGAACUGUCAGGGCAGUUAUGGAUCCAGAGCCUAUCCUAGGGAAUGCUGGGUACAAAGCAGGAAUACACACUGAAUGGGACACCAGUCCAUCACAAGAAACAACUUCAUCCUGGUCAUGCUGGAUCUGGAGCCUGUCCUGGAAACCAUGGAUGUGAGGAGGGAAUACACCACUAGUCCAUCAUAGGUCACCAUGCACACACACAAUCACACAAUCAUUCUGUGAUUGGAGUUGCUUUUAAUCUCAUUGUACAUGUGUAUAGUGACAAUAAAGGCAUUCUAUUCUA
This is a long non-coding RNA of Neoarius graeffei (lesser salmon catfish), 801 nucleotides long. RefSeq lists it as uncharacterized. The record is from RefSeq and is a predicted model, not a curated record. NCBI's taxonomy places the organism in Eukaryota, Metazoa, Chordata, Actinopteri, Siluriformes, Ariidae. The transcript has 5 exons.